CACCGCGGUUAUACGAAAGACCCUAGUUGAUAAACACGGCGUAAAGGGUGGUUACGGAAAAACAAUUAAUAAAGCUAAAGACCCUCUAAGCCGUCAUACGCACUCCGAGACCACGAAACCCAAACACGAAAGUAGCUUUAAACACAUAUCUCCCGACCCCACGAAAGCUAAGAAA
This 175-nucleotide ribosomal RNA is filed under the name Clarias batrachus (walking catfish). RNAcentral's name for it is "partial small subunit ribosomal RNA". The record is from RNAcentral. Lineage: Eukaryota; Metazoa; Chordata; Actinopteri; Siluriformes; Clariidae.